Molecule: ribosomal RNA, 207 nt
Filed under: uncultured bacterium
Lineage: Bacteria
Description: partial 16S ribosomal RNA
Rfam family: Bacterial small subunit ribosomal RNA
Source: RNAcentral
UGCGUAGGCGGUCGGGUAAGUCUGACGUGAAAUCUUCAAGCUCAACUUGGAAACUGCGUCGGAUACUAUUCGGCUAGAGGAAUGGAGGGGAGACUGGAAUACUUGGUGUAGCAGUGAAAUGCGUAGAUAUCAAGUGGAACACCAGUGGCGAAGGCGAGUCUCUGGACAUUUCCUGACGCUGAGGCACGAAAGCCAGGGGAGCAAACG